Molecule: ribosomal RNA, 254 nt
Filed under: uncultured bacterium
Lineage: Bacteria
Description: partial 16S ribosomal RNA
Rfam family: Bacterial small subunit ribosomal RNA
Source: RNAcentral
UACGUAGGGUGCGAGCGUUGUCCGGAAUUAUUGGGCGUAAAGAGCUCGUAGGCGGUGUGUCGCGUCGGUCGUGAAAACUUGGGGCUUAACCCUGAGCUUGCGGUCGAUACGGGCAUCACUGGAGUUCGGCAGGGGAGACUGGAAUUCCUGGUGUAGCGGUGAAUUGCGCAGAUAUCAGGAGGAACACCGGUGGCGAAGGCGGGUCUCUGGGCCGAUACUGACGCUGAGGAGCGAAAGCAUGGGGAGCAAACAGG